GGACUACUGGGGUAUCUAAUCCCGUUCGCUACCCUAGCUUUCGCGCCUCAGCGUCAGAAGAGGUCCAGCACGUCGCUUUCGCCACCGGCGUUCCUUCCGAUAUCAACACAUUUCACCGCUCCACCGGAAGUUCCACAUGCCCCUACCUCCCUCAAGGCGACCAGUAUCAAAGGCUGUUUUCCGGUUAAGCCGAAAGAUUUCACCCCUGACUUGAUCGUCCGCCUACGCGCCCUUUAAGCCCAGUGAUUCCGAACAACGUUCGCACGGUUCGUCUUACCGCGGCUGCUGGCAC
RNAcentral lists this ribosomal RNA (292 nucleotides) under uncultured Planctomycetota bacterium. Its description in RNAcentral is "uncultured planctomycete partial 16S ribosomal RNA". Lineage: Bacteria; Pseudomonadati; Planctomycetota. The record is from RNAcentral.